UUACAACCUCGGUCAAGAUUCUCCCAUACAGACCUCCUGCUCGGUUAUUAAGAGCUAAAUAAUUAUGGGUACUCAAUAUCAAGACUAGGGAAUAGACGUCAACAUAACCAACCUCAAUUCCAAGCACUGUGGUGAGCAAUUUAUGAAUUUGUCUUUUAAACAGCCUUUGCGUAACUUAACGCCAUUAUUGCAGCAGUACGUUACUGAUGGCCAUCAUAAAUCAGCAAUAAUUUUCCAACAAGCUGCAGACUUAACUAACGCUGUCUUUUUCCUGGUUUUUGUAGGGUGAAGUGAGGCAUGACCUGACGAAUGCCUUCCAAACCUCGUACAUCAAACUUAGUGACCUGGUGGACCAAAUGUUCCCUCCAUUCAAGACAGAGGGUCUUCCACCCUCGGGGCUCAUAGCACCCGACCAAUUUAGUUCCUUUACGUACUGGAGAGCUCCUCUCCCCAGUAUUCCUGUGGAUGAACUUAACGAUAACGAUGACAAGACCAGUGACGCGACAGCCUCUAAACAACAGUAGUAGGAAAAUAUAGACGAUUUCCUAGCAGAUGAGAGAGUAUAACAAUCAAGAGAUGAAACCUGCUAUUUAAAGUGUAUCAUAAUUAUUUCUUUAUGUUCCUAGAUUACAUAUUUGAUUUGUUUUGUAAGAAUAGGUGAAUUUUACAAUUUCUUAAAGUGAACUGAAAUUUAUUACUGGUAAAAUUGACCUUUUAAUGACACAGAGUUUCUGUUAUAAUAAUGUGUGAAUUAUUGUGUAAUGGGUGAAUUUCGCCUUUAAGAAAGAGGUUUUGUUUAUAUUACACGUGUAAAUAAUUUCAAAAUAGGAUUUAUAAUAAUGGUUAUAUCUGACGCUUUCCAAGCAGUGUUCUAUUUUGCCAGUUAUUUCAUGAGCCAUUUUCAACUUUAAUAUUGCGUUCACACUAGAUCUUCAACUUGUUUAAAUUCCGCGUUGUACAAUUUUAUUGGCUAAACGCGGUUUAAAAUAAUUUGCGGCAUGAACGAUGCUCUCAGGGCUAAAAACACAAGUGUAAAAUUUAGGCUUCAAGUUUUGUGUAAGGGUUAUAUUUUUGUUGUUGUCAUGGUUAACUCCAGGCUUUUUUCCUCUGUGGAGUGAAUAAGUCAAAUUAGGUAAAAAUUUCGUAAAAUUUAGCUAAUUUAAAAGAAAAUAUUUGGAAAUACCCUAAUUUAUUGGAACUACGUUGCUUUUAACUGAAGAGUAAUUUUGUUUGUGAGAUGUGGCAAAGAUGAGUUACUGUGAUGUUCUUUAUUUAGAUAUAAUCACGGUUUUCGACGCCAUCUUGCCGGGUAGGGAAAGCGGUUAUAGUGUUUGUAUGGGAAUCGGAUGUCAAAUAACUCUUUUUAAAUAUCAAUUUUGCACAACUUAUGAAUUGCAACUUUAUCAUACCAGGUAGCAGAUUGUAUUGACCAAAUUUGAAGGACGUAGCUGGGCUAGAAGACGCUCAGUUAAUUUCUAAUUUU
Orbicella faveolata is the source of this 1483-nucleotide long non-coding RNA. NCBI's taxonomy places the organism in Eukaryota, Metazoa, Cnidaria, Anthozoa, Scleractinia, Merulinidae. The record is from RefSeq and is a predicted model, not a curated record.